RNAcentral lists this long non-coding RNA (2044 nucleotides) under Homo sapiens (human). Its description in RNAcentral is "HSALNT0406439". The record is from RNAcentral. Lineage: Eukaryota; Metazoa; Chordata; Mammalia; Primates; Hominidae.
GGGAAAGGCUCGGCAGGCGGCUGUGGGGCGGGGCCUGGCGGGGCUGGGGCGGGGCCUGGGCGGGGCCUCAUUGCGGCCGCGGGCCGUGGGGCUGAUUCCGAGCUUUCGCGCAAAUUGGAUCUCCACUUUAAAGUUUAACAACUUUUCCUGUAUUUUUCCCCUCCCUAAACCAGGUAAAACAACCAGACAGUGGAGAAUUUGUAAAACCUAGGCGAGUACAAAGUAAGAAAAGGAGAAACCUUUCCGAGGCACCAGGGAAAAUACUGGCCUGGAGUAUCUUUUUAUCGAAAUAUAUAGAUAUUUACAUCAUCGGGAUAACAUUGUAUAUAUGCUUGUGGCUUAAAAAAUAACAUUUUUUGUCUGAUUGCAAGACCACACGUUUAUUGCAUGAAAUUUGGAAAACUGGAAAAAAAUACAAAGAAGAAAAGUAGACUGAGAUUCCCUCACACGAGAUCACCAUUGUUAACAUUUGACUUUCUUUUUACACAAUUAUGCAUUUGUUGAGACAAAAAAUGGAUCAUGCCGUAAAUAUUGCUUUGCAACUUUGUCUUUGUAACCGUGGCUAUAUUCUAAAUGUCACACAUCAUUUAGUGUUCAUUCACAGCAUUGCUUAUGAUCAUACACAGCGGGGCUGUAUUUUAUUUAACCCAUGUGAGAUUAUUGGAUAUUGAUGUUGUUUUCAGUUUCAUCUCUUCCUUACUUCUUUCUUUUACGAUAAACAUUCUUGCAGCUAAAUCUGUGCAUAUCCAAUCCCUAGAUGUGGAAUUGCUGAGUCAAAGCAUAUAAACACGAAUGCUUCUUGUACCUCCCUUUUUAUGUUUUCCAAAUUUAAAAAGUAAUGAAUUAGUAUUUUAACAAUUGGUUUAAACUGUAGUACUGUAUAUACAAAAAAUAUCUCUCAUUUGCAGAAUAUGUAAAGAAGUCCUGGCUGGGCAUGGUGGUUCACCCCUGUAAUUCCAACACUUUAAGAAGCCAAGGCAGGAGGAUUGCUUGAGCUCAGGAGCUCAAGACCAAGGCUGAGGCGGGUGGAUCACCUGAGGUCGGGAGUUUGAGAGGAGCCUGGCCAACAUGGAGAAACCCUGUGUCUACUAAAAAUACAAAAAUUAGCCAGGCAUGGUGGUGGGCGCCUGUAAUCCCAGCUCCUCAGAAGGCUGAGGCAGAAGAAUUGCUUAAACUUGGGAGGCAGAGGUUGUGGUGAGCCGAGAUCGUGCCAUUACACUCCAGCCUGGGCAACAAGAGUGAAACUCUGUCUAAAACAAAGCAAAACAAAACAAAACAAAACAAAAACAAGCUGGAGACCAGCCUGGGCAACAUUGUGAGAACUCAUCUUUACAAAAAAUUUAAAAAUUAACCCUGUUGGUGGGAAUGUUAGCUUUGUUGGUGGGAAUGUUAGCUUUGUUAGUGGGAAUGUAAAAUUGUGCACCUGCUAUGGAAAACAGUAUGAGAGUUCCUCAAAAAUGUAAAUACAGAACUACUACAGGACCCAGCAAUUCCACUCCUAAGAAUAUACCCCCCAAAAUUGAAGACAGAAACACUAACAAAUAUUUGUACACUUCUGGUACAAAAAAGAAGCAGCAUUAUGCAUAAUAGACAAAAGGUGGAAACAGCCCCAGUGUCCAUGGGUAGAUGAACGGAGAAAGAAAAGGUGAUAUAUAUAUAUACGAUGGAGUGUUACUCAGCUUUCAAAAGGAAUGAAGUUGUGACACAUGAUAUGACGUGGAUCAACCUUGAAAACAUGACGCUCAGUGAAGCAAGCCAAACACGAAAGGGCACAUAGUGUACGAUUCCACCUGUACGAGGUCCCGAGAAUAGUCAAAUUCAUAGAGUCAGAAAGUAAAGCAGUGCUUACUGGGCACUGGGGAGAGCCGAGAUUGAGGGGUUAUUAUUUAGUAGGUAUGGAGUUUCAGUUUGGGAUGAUGAAAAAGUUGUGGAGACAGAUCAUGGUGAUGGUUGCCCAGCAAGUGAAUGUACUUAAUGCUACUGAAAUGGUAAAUGGUAAAUUUUGUUAUGUAUAUUUUACUAGAUACACACAAAGACAUUUCUG